CUCGAUUGACGGCUCAGUGAGGCCUUCGGACUGGCCCAGGGAGGUGGGCAACUACCACCCAGGUGCUGGAAAGUUGUACGAACUCGGUCGUUUAGAGGAAGUAAAAGUCGUAACAAGGUCUCCGUUGGUGAACCAGCGGAGGGAUCAUUACAGAGUUGAAAAACUCCAACCCCUGUGAACCUACCUUUACUGUUGCUUCGGCGGACGAUGGCCCCCGGGCCGGACGCCGCCGGAGGUUACAAACCCUGAAUUUUAGUGUAUCUCUGAGUACGAAACCAAAUAAUUAAAACUUUCAACAACGGAUCUCUUGGUUCUGGCAUCGAUGAAGAACGCAGCGAAAUGCGAUAAGUAAUGUGAAUUGCAGAAUUCAGUGAAUCAUCGAAUCUUUGAACGCACAUUGCGCCCGCCGGUAUUCCGGCGGGCAUGCCUGUCCGAGCGUCAUUUCACCACUCAAGCCCAGCUUGGCGUUGGGGCACCCGGCCGCCCGGCGGUCGGGGCCCCCAAGAACAUCGGCGGUCUCGCUAGGACCCUGAGCGCAGUAACUCGCGGUAAAACGCGCUUCGCUCGGAGGCUUUCCCGGCGGGCUCCAGCCGCUAAACCCCCUAAACUUCUUAGGUUGACCUCGGAUCAGGUAGGAAUACCCGCUGAACUUAAGCAUAUCAAUAAGCGGAGGAAAAGAAACCAACAGGGAUUGCCCUAGUAACGGCGAGUGAAGCGGCAACAGCUCAAAUUUGAAAUCUGGCCCCAGGCCCGAGUUGUAAUUUGCAGAGGAUGCUUUUGGCAAAGCGCAUACCGAGUCCCCUGGAACGGGGCGCCACAGAGGGUGAGAGCCCCGUAUGGUACGACGCCGAGCCUCUGUAAAGCUCCUUCGACGAGUCGAGUAGUUUGGGAAUGCUGCUCUAAAUGGGAGGUAAAUUUCUUCUAAAGCUAAAUACCGGCCAGAGACCGAUAGCGCACAAGUAGAGUGAUCGAAAGAUGAAAAGCACUUUGAAAAGAGGGUUAAAUAGCACGUGAAAUUGUUGAAAGGGAAGCGCUCGUGACCAGACUUGCGCCGGGCGGAUCAUCCAGCGUUCUCGCUGGUGCACUCCGCCCGGCUCAGGCCAGCAUCGGUUUUCGCCGGGGGACAAAAGCUUCGGGAACGUGGCUCCCUUCGGGGAGUGUUAUAGCCCGUCGUUUAAUACCCCGGCGGGGACCGAGGACCGCGCUUCGGCAAGGAUGCUGGCGUAAUGGUCAUCAGCGACCCGUCUUGAAACACGGACCGAGGAGUCAAGCAUUAGUGCGAGUGUUUGGGUGUAAAACCCGCACGCGUAAUGAAAGUGAACGUAGGUGAGAGCUUCGGCGCAUCAUCGACCGAUCCUGAUGUUUUCGGAUGGAUUUGAGUAGGAGCAUUAACGCUUGGACCCGAAAGAUGGUGAACUAUACUUGAAUAGGGUGAAGCCAGAGGAAACUCUGGUGGAGGCUCGCAGCGGUUCUGACGUGCAAAUCGAUCGUCAAAUUUGAGUAUAGGGCGAAAGACUAAUCGA
This 1523-nucleotide ribosomal RNA is filed under the name Gaeumannomyces hyphopodioides. RNAcentral's name for it is "eukaryotic LSU rRNA". The stretch from base 618 to 1523 matches the Rfam family "Eukaryotic large subunit ribosomal RNA", at positions 1 to 938 of the family's 3401-position model. Lineage: Eukaryota; Fungi; Ascomycota; Sordariomycetes; Magnaporthales; Magnaporthaceae. The record is from RNAcentral.